RNAcentral lists this ribosomal RNA (254 nucleotides) under uncultured bacterium. Its description in RNAcentral is "partial 16S ribosomal RNA". It matches the Rfam family "Bacterial small subunit ribosomal RNA", at positions 524 to 776 of the family's 1533-position model. The record is from RNAcentral.
UACGUAGGUGGCAAGCGUUGUCCGGAUUUACUGGGCGUAAAGAGCGCGCAGGCGGUCGAGUAAGUCGAAUGUGAAAGCCCCCGGCUUAACUGGGGAGGGUCACGCGAUACUGAUCGACUCGAAGGCAGGAGAGGGUAGUGGAAUUCCCGGUGUAGUGGUGAAAUGCGUAGAUAUCGGGAGGAACACCAGUGGCGAAGGCGACUACCUGGCCUGUUUCUUGACGCUGAGGCGCGAAAGCUAGGGGAGCAAACGGG